GUGCCAGCAGCCGCGGUAAUACAGAGGUCUCAAGCGUUGUUCGGAUUUAUUGGGCGUAAAGGGUGCGCAGGCUGUGUGGUAAGUUUGGUGUGAAAUCCUGGGGCUCAACCCCAGAAUUGCACUGAAUACUGCCAUGCUAGAGGACUGGAGAGGAGAUUGGAAUUCACGGUGUAGCAGUGAAAUGCGUAGAUAUCGUGAGGAAGACCAGUGGCGAAGGCGAAUCUCUGGACAGUUCCUGACGCUCAUGCACGAAGGCUAGGGGAGCAAACGGGAUUAGAUACCCCUGUAGUCC
RNAcentral lists this ribosomal RNA (292 nucleotides) under uncultured bacterium. RNAcentral's name for it is "partial 16S ribosomal RNA". It matches the Rfam family "Bacterial small subunit ribosomal RNA", at positions 505 to 796 of the family's 1533-position model. The record is from RNAcentral.